Molecule: long non-coding RNA, 1028 nt
Filed under: Capra hircus (goat)
Lineage: Eukaryota; Metazoa; Chordata; Mammalia; Artiodactyla; Bovidae
Description: lncRNA (ENSCHIG00000005032.1)
Source: RNAcentral
UGAAUGGCACAUUGUCACACGUGGGCCCUCGGAAACCCAAGGAGGGACCAGGGCUCACGCUUGGAUUUUCUUAGGUUUAUCCUCCAAUCAUGGCUUCCCAGGUGGCACGAGUGGAAAGAAUCUGCCUGUUAAUGCAGGAGACAUAAGAGAUGUGGGUUUGAUCCCUGGGUCAGGAAGAUCCCCUGGAGGAGGGCAUGGCAACCCACUCCAGUUUUGCCUGGAGAAUCCUAUGGACAGAGGAGCCUGGCAGACUAUAGUCCACAGAGUCGCAAAGAGUUGGACACAACUGAAGCGACUGAGCAUGCAGGCGAAUUUGCAGAUAUGGAAUCUGCCAGUAAUGAGAACGGACGGCCUGUACUCGGGGGAAAAAAUGUUUUUUAUCAUCAUGAAUUCCAGCUGAGAAAUCCCUGGCCAGGGGCUGGACGUCCUGGAGCCAUGAGAGAGGGCACUUGGGGAAAAGAUGGAGAUACUCGAGGAAACAAUACACAGUAUUUAUCUAAGUCUGCGAGGAAAUUGCAACCUGUGGGGUUGAGGCGAACGAUGGACGCGCUGUCUCCUGCUUCAUGUGAGUAGCUCUAGUUUAUACACCUUUAGAUUGCCUUUGGGAACCUUGGAUCGGAGGCCAGGCAGCUGGAUUUCAUUGAUACCUCCAUCGCUCUUCCUCCCAGCGGCCACAGCCUGGCCCAGCAACACGUUGCACACAACGCUUUGACUUUCAGACAAUAAAGGAGGGUCUCUCACAAGGAAGCUGUCUCAGAUACAGUCUGUGUGCUCUACAGUGAUUUCAGCGUUGAUUGGAGAAGAAACGUUCCUCUUUUUAUAUUUUUAGGCUGACAACACGACUGCCAACAGAGCCUUUACAAAACAGGACAUAGCCUGAAACAAUAAUAUUAGGUGUUUCUCUUACAAUGCACUUACGUAGGAAGGAUCUGGAUGUGUAAGGAAGUAUAAUUAGAACAUAAUUUUAAAAACUCAGCAGAACCCAAUAAAUCUCAGAAAUGGCUAGCAUAUGGGGGUGGGGUGGGAGG